GGAGGUUGGAGAUGUAAAGUCGCUUCCCCAGUCCCAAACCCCAAGCGUACCAUACGCUACGCUGCCACUUGCGUGAGCGUUGUCCAUUUGCUUUACCGACGUAGCGUAGCCGAGCGUGAUAAGACAAUACGACAAUCGUGUUUAAGAACCAUUCGCUCCCUUUUACUAGCAGAUUAUGCUAAAGCCUAACGUGAUGUGCAUGUGGCGCACUGCUGCAGGACAAGACAACUCCUCCUCAACUUCAAGCGAUUCGUAUCGGACUGUGUGUGAGCAUCGUCUUCAAUCUGCCACGGGGCCAAUAAAUGGAGCGUGAAACGUCCAUUAUCCCCCCCGUGCGUAUAUGUUUGUGUGGAUGGACAGUUUGAUGAUCACACCAACGCCGAAACUCAUCCAGGCUUGACGACAUUGCGUUAUGCACCCAGACCGUAGACUGCAAGCAGGAACUAUGAACGGGUUUAAGGAACACACUAUCGCAGUGCACUAUGAUAGAUAAACGUUUUGCUUAAAUCAACUUUCGUCAAAGAUGUUUCUGAUGACGCCAGCAUAUACUUAAUUAUUCUCGGUGUGGAUGAUUGGUAACAAAUAAAAGGACAACGAAUA
Anopheles darlingi is the source of this 600-nucleotide long non-coding RNA. RefSeq lists it as uncharacterized. The record is from RefSeq and is a predicted model, not a curated record. NCBI's taxonomy places the organism in Eukaryota, Metazoa, Arthropoda, Insecta, Diptera, Culicidae. The transcript has 2 exons.